RNAcentral lists this long non-coding RNA (439 nucleotides) under Salmo salar (Atlantic salmon). Its description in RNAcentral is "lncRNA (ENSSSAG00000101236.1, ENSSSAG00000105574.1)". The record is from RNAcentral. Lineage: Eukaryota; Metazoa; Chordata; Actinopteri; Salmoniformes; Salmonidae.
UGUACAUCACAAGGGACAGCACUUCUAUUCCUAUUGUGAAUUAAACAUCUUAAGCAUCAUUCUGAGCUUUCGAGGCGAUGGUAAAGAACUGCUAUAUAAUGCAUUAUAGUGAUUUACAUUUUGAUUACAUUUGAAGUACAACUGAAUGUGGGCCUUGUCAUCAUAACUCAACUUGUUUCUGAGAUAACUACUGAUUCUGCUGCGGAUUCAGAUGAGAGGUGUUAUGGUGUGUUGGGAGACAGAGAGAGGUGUUGUGGUGUGUUGGGAGACAGAGGGAGGUGUUGUAGAGAGGUAUUGUGGUGUGUUGGGAGACAGAGAGAUUUGUUGUGGUGUGUUGGGAGACAGAGAGUGGUGUUGUGAUGUGUUUGGUGACAAAUAAGUAUUGUGAUGUGUUGAGAUACAGAGAGAAGUGUUGGGGUGUGUUGGGAGACAGAGAGAG